AUACGGAGGAUCCGAGCGUUAUCCGGAUUUAUUGGGUUUAAAGGGUGCGUAGGCGGAAUAAUAAGUCAGUUGUGAAAGUUUGCGGCUCAACCGUAAAAUUGCAGUUGAUACUGUUAUUCUUGAGUGUACAUAAGGUAGGCGGAAUUCGUGGUGUAGCGGUGAAAUGCUUAGAUAUCACGAAGAACUCCAAUUGCGAAGGCAGCUUACCGGGGUACAACUGACGCUGAAGCACGAAAGCGUGGGGAUC
Molecule: ribosomal RNA, 247 nt
Filed under: uncultured bacterium
Lineage: Bacteria
Description: partial 16S ribosomal RNA
Rfam family: Bacterial small subunit ribosomal RNA
Source: RNAcentral